GCGGAUGGCUGGAUGACCGCGGGCGGCAACGUCCGAGGAAAGUCCGGACUCCAUGAAGCAAGGGUGCCGGGUAACCCCCGGCGGGGGCAACCCCAGGGAAAGCGCCACAGAGAACAGACUUCCCUGUUGUUUGAGAAGGUUCGCCUUCGGCUUGGCAGGGAACAGGUGAAACGGUGGGGUAAAAGCCCACCGCGGACCGGGCAACCGGGACGGCACGGCAAGCCCCACCCGGAGCAAUGCCGAAUAGGGGCCUUGCGUGGGACCGGUCCGAUGGCGAAAGCCGGGGGAAACCGCCACAGGAACGCUUCAGCCCAAAGGCCCGGGUUGGCAGCUUGACCGCCCUGGCAACAGGUGCGGCAGAGGAAUGGUCAUCCAGAGGCGCAAGCCUUGGACAGAAUCCGGCUUACAGGCCAUCCGCGCAU
RNAcentral lists this RNase P RNA (422 nucleotides) under Paracoccaceae bacterium. RNAcentral's name for it is "Rhodobacteraceae bacterium (freshwater metagenome) RNase P RNA component class A". It matches the Rfam family "Bacterial RNase P class A". From Rfam's summary of the family: Ribonuclease P (RNase P) is a ubiquitous endoribonuclease, found in archaea, bacteria and eukarya as well as chloroplasts and mitochondria. Its best characterised activity is the generation of mature 5'-ends of tRNAs by cleaving the 5'-leader elements of precursor-tRNAs. The record is from RNAcentral. Lineage: Bacteria; Pseudomonadati; Pseudomonadota; Alphaproteobacteria; Rhodobacterales; Paracoccaceae.